This 9854-nucleotide long non-coding RNA is filed under the name Marmota monax (woodchuck). Lineage: Eukaryota; Metazoa; Chordata; Mammalia; Rodentia; Sciuridae. The record is from RNAcentral.
AUUGUUUAUCUGUACUUGUCCCCUUUGUGUGUUGCAGGACGUUAAAGUCUUUAGUGAAGAUGGAACAAGCAAGGUGGUGGAGAUUCUGACAGAUAUGACGGCCAGGGACCUGUGCCAGCUGCUGGUUUACAAAAGUCACUGCGUGGAUGACAACAGCCGGAUAAAAUGGCAGAUAAUUCUUCAUGUCUUAAAACAUCACUCAUAGUAUACUGUCGUUGGGUUUUGCUUUUUCAUCUUCAUUGCAGGACAAUUGCAAAAUGUUAGUACAAAGUGUACAAUGUGAUGAUCUGUUUUACAUGUACACUGUGAAAUAAUUAUUAAAAUCAAGCUAAUUAACAUACUCAUUACUGCCUAUACUGUGUAUGUAUGUGUGUGUGUGUAAUGAUAUCACUUAAACUCUACUUUCUAGCAACAUUUUUUUUAAAGAGAGAGAGAGAGAGAGAGAGAGAGAGAGAGAGAGAGAGAAUUUUUAAUAUUUAUUUUUUAGCUAAUUCGGCGGACACAACAUCUUUGUUUGUGGUGCUGAGUAUCUAACCUGGGCCGCACGCAUGCUAGGUGAGCGUGCUACAGCUUGAGCCACAUCCCCAGCCCUAGAAUUUCAAACUUACUGAAAAUAAGAUCAGUGAGCUGCAGAGAGAUGGUCUCUUGUCAGGACAAUUUUGAAGGAAAUCGGUGCUGCCUUCCCCACAAAGCUCCAUAAGCUGAGUUCCCUGACCCACAAAAAAUUCUUUAUCAUGCAGUACAUGAUUAUAUACCAAUUUAAAGAAGGUCAGUUUCACAAAAGUGAAACAGUGACGAUUUCUCUAAUCCCAUCAUCAUUACCUGGCAGUCUAGCACAAGACUGUCCAAAAGAGAAAUUCAUAAGCUGUCAUUGUAAAUCCUGCUUGAGAUGAUUGAAAUCACAAUACUAGAAUUAAAAAAAAUGUAGAUAAAUAUGCAUUAUGUUAUUAAUAUACUAGUUUAUUCCAUCUAAGCCCUGAGUUGCUUUAACAGGAAGACAUUAGCUGAUAGACUCUGUGUAUUUUAUGUGUUUUUAUCUUAAGUUUGUAUAAAGAAAAUACAAAUUUAUAUACCAUCACUUUAAUCAAAGAGUGUAUAAUGUAGCUGUGGAGAGGAAGUUAAAGAAAGAAUCCAAAAAAAAUUAAAAAAAAAUAAAUACAAAUAAAUAUCAGAAGAGGGACUCGAUCAGUGACUGCUGUAAUAUUCAAAAACUAUAGUCAUGAUGGAAGCAUAAGUUUAAAAGCAACUUCCAAUAUGAAUGGAGCAUAGAUGGGUAUCAGUGGAAGAAAAUAUUUGAGUUGGGUGAGAAGCAUGAAUAAACAGGGAAAUUUUUUAGUAUUUCAGUUAUAUUUAAGAACCAUUUCAACCCUAAUGACUGAGACAGAAAUUUGUGCUAUUUAUCCCUUAGAAACACCCAGGCCCAUGGAUUGAAUAAGGAUUGAAUAAGGGAAGAAAGUUUCAAAAUAUGGUUGCAGACUCAUUUCAAAAAUCUUAAAAUCAAAUCAAAUUUCAUAAAGAUGACCUAGUGAAGACAAUGACUUAUGUUUCAGGUGCAGAAGCACUAUUCAACAAAGAGAAUUAAAGGUAAUAAUCAGAAUGAAUUGUGCUGCUAUAGACAUUGAUGUGGCUGUGUCCCUGUAGUAUGCUCUUUUUAGGUCCUUUGGGUAUAGUCCGAGAAGGGGAAUAGCUGGGUCAAAUGGUGAUUCCAUUCCCAGCUUUCCAAGGAAUCUCCAUACUGCUUUCCAAAUUGGCUGCACCAAUUUGCAGUCCCACCAGCAAUGUAUGAGUGUACCUUUUUCCCUGCAUCCUCACCAGUGCUUGUUGUUUGACUUCAUAAUGGCUGUCAUUCUUACUGGAGUAAGAAUGGUAUCUUAGAGUAGUUUUAAUUUGCAUUUCUUUGAUUGCUAGAGAUGGUGAGCAUUUUUUCGUGUAUUUGUUGAUUGAUUGUAUAUCCUUUUCUGAGAAGUGUAAUAGAUGAAUGGAAUAAAAUAAUGUGGCAUUUAUACACAAUGGAAUAUUGCUCAGCACUAAAAAAAUAACAAGAUCAUGUCAUUUGCAGGGAAAUGGAUGGCAUUAGAGCAGAUUAUGCUAAGUGAAGUUAGCCAAUCCCUAAAAAACAAAUGCCAAAUGUCUUCUCUGAUAUAAGGGGGUGAUUCAAAAUGGUCUAGAGAGGAAGAGCAUGAGAAGAAGAUUACCACUAAAUAGGGAAGAGAGGUGGGAGGGAAAGGGAGGGAGAAGGGUAAUUGCACGGAAGAUGGAAAGAGAUCCUCAUCGUUAUACAGAAUACAUGUAUGAUGAUGUGAGGGGGAAAAAAAGAAGUGUGUCACAUUAGAUUGGGUAGAGAGAAGUGAUGGGGAGGGAGGGGAGGGAAAGGGGGGAUAGGAAGGGAGCAGAAUAAAAUAGACACUAGUAUUGCUGUAUGUAUAUAGGUGACUGUAUGACCAAUGUGAGUCUGCAACCUGUACACUCAGAAAAAUGAGAAAUUAUACCCUAUUUGAUUCAAAAGAAAAAAGAGAGAAAGAAUGAAGAGGAAACAUUUCUGAAAUUGAAGUAUACACACACAAAAAAAAUGGCUAGAAUUGCAUAUUCUUACCAAAAUGUCUCAUCUCACUGAAGGCUAAAACAUUAAUAAUUGCACAUUUUUAAACUCUUCAGUUGGAGAAGUUUGAACAAUCAUGUCACCACACGGAACCCCGACUUAAUACAGGAGAGAAUCUUGUCUGUAUUUCUUGAGUCAAUUCCUACUCUGCCCAUCUAUCCUUUCUCUGCUUUACAAAGGCAAGGACUUUUCUUUUUCAAAACAUACAAGUUAGUUUUCCAAUAUAGUAGAUUCAAAAUCCUUUAAAUUGCAGUCUGGCUUUUUCAUAUCUGACUUAUUUUGUUUACCAUACUAGAAUUGAAAUUAUCUAUUAUGUAUCUGUAAUUCAUAUCUUUUGAUAGGUGAAUAAUAUUCUACAUUAUGACAAAAAUGAAAUUUGUCUAUCACCAAUGAUGAAACUGUUUAAUAUUUAGUCAUAUUCUACAUUAUGACUAAAAUGAAAUUUGUCUAUCUCCAAUGAUUUCUGUUAAAUGCUAUUAUAAAUAAUAUUGUCAUAGUAAUUAUUUUUCAAGUUGUUUCAAAGACACAUUUUUCAUUCCAUUGUGUAAAUACAAGGAAUCAUUUCCUAUGAAUGUGUUUAUAUAAAACUGACACACAGAUACUUGAAACAGUUAUAGAAUGAAACAUACCUUCAGCAAUUUCUGAAUGUUCUGUAUUCUAGAAAAUAUUUCAUGUUGUCUGUAAUUUUUUUGUAAUUUCAGCAAUGCUAAUGAGAGACAAAACAGCAUCUCAUUGUGGUUUUGAUUUAUAUUUAUCAACACACAUUCUGGAGACAAACUAGAAAGAUUACCCAUUAAAUGAAUGUUUUUGUCUGGCAAAACUGUAGGGACCAACAGUAGGUUCGUGGUGGCCAGAGUGUAGGAGUAGUGACAAUGGUUAAUUAUAAAUAAGAUGCUGAGGGAGAAAUUUUAAUGUGAUGCAACUGUUUUAUAUCAUGCUUAUGGUAAUGGACAUAUAGCUCUGCUUCUAUCAAGCACAUAAAACCAUAUACCACAUAGAGUGAAUUUUGAUGCAUAUAAAUUAAGAACCAAUAAUGAAAUCAAUUUUAAAGGUAAAAAUAAGGCAAUAGGCUAGACUUUCCAUUAAGGCCAAGCCUCAGGCAGAUGAACAUCCCAGUACUAGCAGAUGCCUAAUUUACUGAACAAAGUCCUAAUUAGCCAGGAUAUUUUCUUAUCAAAUUUAGCAUGACAUGGUAAAAUUUAAAAUCUCAUUGUGUUUGUAAAAGAAAAAAAAAUCAAGAACCUUCCACAAAGAAAUCAAGUGGCUAGAGGAAGAGAGGACUGUGGCAUUUUGCAGUGACUGCUGUUGUUCUUAGCAAUUUGUAAUUCCCUAAUACCUUUUAUAGUCUCCUAUCAUGAUUCCGUGGAGUAGCAUGUAGAUUUAGUUAUUUUAAAUAAAGCUAUUAUAUAUUAAUUGAAGGACUACAUGUAAACUGUUCUUUAUUUUAAAGUUAAGCCAAUAUAAAAAACAAACCUUUCCUUUCUUUCCCAUUUCUCCACCACUUUGUGCUUAGUAAAUGGACUCUACAGUCUGACAUCCUACUUAUAUCAGGGAGGGAGAACAUUAGCUAAGUGCCUUCUUUUGUUCAAGACAGUGCUUUCAAAGAAGUAUUUUUCUAGUGUUUAUUUUGGCGAAAUUCAGUAAUUUCUGCAAACCAUUAGGUAGGAGCAAAUUGAGUGCGAGCACUUGCAACUGCUUUUGUGACAUGAAGUAGGUCACUUAAGCUAUUUGGCUCUUCCAAAUUAUGUAUAGAGAAAAAAUGAUGUAAAAAUUUAAAUAACUUUUUUUCCCAGUAGUAGCUGUAUCUAUGAAUAUUUCUCCUAUUUCCUUUCAAUUCCUUUAAAACACACCAUGUGAACUCUCACACAUAUACUAACAAUACUCAACACACUGUCAAUUUGAUCACAAUUAAUUAGAUUAUUUUAAAUAACUUUACUUAGAUAUUUUAUAAUACAUUUUGAUUUAUAUAAUUUUUUGAUAAAGAAACAUUAAAUGUUGCCAACACACUUUAGUUUAAAGAUAAUUAUCUAUAUUAUUUGUAACUAAGGUCUAUCAUUGCGAUAGCCUCAACAAUUUGAAAUAUUUACAUCAUUUAAUACAAUAAAUUUUUUGAGAAAAUCAUUACUGACAAAAUGCAAGAAUCUACCCAAACUUCCUGUUUUUGUUGUUGAAUUGCUGAAAUCAAUAAUCACAGUAAAGCAUAGAGGUAAAAGUAGAAGACCCCUUCAGAAAAAGGGGAAAAUGCUGAUAAUUAGUGUGGACUGACUUUGGGCUAAAGGAAUCCUAGACUUCUCCUGUCUGUGUUUUUUAAGCUACUAGCUAAAAGUUUCCUCCCAUUAGAAGAAGGAGUAAAACCAAGUUAAAAGAUACAUUUACAGAAAUAUUAUAUUAAUUGCUGGUCUUUUCCACCCUUAAAAAUUUGGUACAAAAAUUUAUUCCCUAUGCCACUUGUUCCAACUUUGUUUUCAGAUUAAGCAAAUUACAGAUUUUUUAAGGUAUCAUUAUAAUGAUCUUUUUUUAUUAGCUACACAUGACACUACAAUGAUCUUCACAAUUCAUACAUUUGAAUCAAAUGGGGUAUAAUUUCUCAUUUUUCUGAUUGUAUAGGUUGCAGAAUCACAUUGGUCAUACAGUCACCUAAAUACAUAAAAUUUAUAGAUUUAAUUUUAACAAGUUCCAGACUGCAGAACCUGUUAAUUAUAAUACCCUUUUACCCUCUUUCAGUCUUAUUUACUUUAGCAAUGAAUAUUUUUUUCAAUAAAUACAACAUGCUUUAAUUCAAUUUAUUUUGAAUCAUAAAUCUAAUAGUUUUUUUUUUAUGGUGAUAUUACCCAGUCAUUGUACUUUCACUGCAUCAGACAUGAUGCAUAAAAGGGAAAAGCUAUAGGACACAUGAUCACGACCCACAAUAGGAACCAUGUAAAACCAGCACAAAAGGAAUCACAUUUUCUUUUGCAUGAAAAGAAACCUAUUAAAUACAGUAGACAUACUACUAAUUUUUAAACAAUGUACAUAAUUUGUAUUUUUCCAGAUAGCAUAGUUCCAAGGAGUUGGUUCUCUAAACAGAAUGCAUAAUUUAUAGCAACUAUGUUUAUAUGCAUCACUUUACAAACUGGAGAUAGCUUAUUUCCUCUGUGAGGAAGAAUGUUGACUACAAGGUUGUGCAUAUAUUAGAUUCUUUCAAAUCCUGAACAAAAUAUCAGAAAUUGUUAUCUGGACAUAGUUUUUAGAGGGCCUAAUCUACUAUUUUGUGCUUUAUUGUCAGGUGUUUUUUACAGUUUCUAUGAUAGGCUUCUGUCUGUUUAUAUGCAAUAUAAUUUAUAGACCAUUAUUUAGAAUCUUUAGCCACAAUGACAACUUAGCCUUUGAAAACUAUUUUAUCAUAUUCAAACAAUCAUCCCUUACACUAAAAGGGGUUUCAAAAUUUAUGUACAUUUUAAUACAUUUUAACAAACAUUUGUUUCAGAGGUAAAGGUAAAUAUACAAUGUUAAGGUACUAAUGUUUAGGAAGUAAAUUAAAAUAAGAAAAUAUUUCAGUAACAAAAUCUAAAUUAUAAUAUGAAUUAUAACUUGAACAAAUGUAUUACUAUGUAAAACUAAAAAAAGUGAAAAUUUAAAUGUAUUGUGAUUCCAAUAAUUUCUAUAGAACAUUCAUGAACUAAUUCUCUGAGAAUAAACUAAUUUCAGUUUGUUGUUUAGUUUGUGAUUAAAAAUGCAGUUUUUUUCCUGCAUGAUUUUCUGCAUUUCUUUUCCUUCUAUAACAAGGAGUGUUUCUCUUAGUAUUUAGUUAGACAUGUCAACUCCUCAUUCCACCAAGUUGAGAAUUUUUUCUUUCAGUUUCUAGAGUAGUUGUACAUGUAAUUUUUUUCUCCAUUCCUACUUCUUUUAUUUUAUUGAUUCUUUGUAGCUAUAUAUGAUGGUAGAAUUCAUUUAGAUAUAAUUAUACAAACAUUCAAUAUAUCUUAUUCUCAUUAGUACCCAACUCUUAGAGAUGUACACUAUGGUGGGAUUCAUGAUGGUAUAUUUACAUAAGUACAUAGGAAGAUUAUUUCAGAUUCAUUUCACUGUCUUUCAUUGUCCUAUUUCCUCUUCCUUCCCUUCAUUUCCCUUUGUCUAAUCUGUUCUUUAUGUAAUUUAUUUAGUACAUUUGAAAUAAUGGCUCUACCAUACCACCUCAUAUUGUGAUACCUAAAUUAAUCUGCUCAGACUGCCAUCAAAAAUACUAUAUACAGGAGGUAUAUAAAAUAAAAUUUCUGAAGGCUGAAAUUCUCAGAAUUGGGGUAUCAACACAGCCAUGUUCUGGUGAGAACUCUCUUGCUGUCUUUCUCCAGGACAACUUUUUUUUUCAGUGACCUUACAUGACAGAGACAAGAGUAUGCAAAGUCUCUACUAUCAGUCUCUUAGAGUGAAUUGAACCCAUCGUCAAAGCCCUACUCUCAUGGCCACAUCCAAUCCUAAUCGUCCACUAAAAGUCCCUUCACUAAUCAAAUAUGAAUUUUGUAGGGUUCUUAGACUUCUGGCAAUGUUGCUCUUUUAAAUUACAUGAAAUUUUGCUUCAUUCUAAUCAAAUAAUUAGUGUUUGUUUUCAACACUCCUAUUUUGUUUUUAAUAUAUUUCGACUGGUGUUACAAGGAUCUACCUAAGUCUAUUUUUUUCUUUGUCUUACCAUACAUGAAGCUUUUGGCAAUGGCUUAGUAUCUAUGUUACCAUUUAUUAUUCAUUUACCAUCAUGUUGGCCUUACUUGUAGGUCCCAAUGAUUAUUAGUCAACACUAUCACUAACAUCUAUUCAAGACCUUCAGUAUCAUUUGCCUUAUCUCAGCUGGAAUUAAUGCAUUCAUAUUUUGACACCAUCUGCUGAUAGUGACAUUGGGUUAGUUUAAUUAACAUAUACAUAUAAUGUUAUGCCCACUUGUGUAUAAAAGUGUCAAAGCUGGAUAGGUCUAGUUUGUUUACAUUAAUUUGGUAACAAAGAUCAUAAAAAAAAGAUCAAGCCUGAGAUAGCCUUUAAAGUGUAGGUAUAAAUUUGAUAUGGGGAAUAAAAGAGUGUGUUCUGUGAUAGUUGAAUAAAGUUUCCCAGUACACAUUUAACCUUUAUAGUGAUUUGUAGAAACAUUUGCAAAAUAUAAACUUAUCAGUAAGUAGUACUUAAUUUAAAUAGAAGAGUAAAUAAAAUUAAUUUACUAGGCAUUUGUCUUUGAAAUGCCUUUUGUUAUUAUUUGAUUUAGUUUGAAUUUUAAUCAGUAUAAUGAUUAACACAUUCAUUAUAUAGAUUAAUGAAUUUCACUGUGGCAUUUUCAUAUAUGUAUAUAUUGCACAUUGAUCAUGUUCUCUCUCUUCUUCUCCUUUUUCUAACUUUUCUUCCCAUAACCUCCUCUACCCUGCCCUGACCCCAUUUCAAAACCCUUUCUUCUAAUUGUGUUUGAUUUUUUUAAUUUGCCACAUAUGAGAAAGAACAUGAAAUAUUUGUAUUUCUGUGUUUUCCUCUUUUUGCCGAAUAUAUUACAAUUCCACACUUUUCUUCAUGGCCACAUGAUUCAUAUAUAUAUGUAUCAUAUUAUCUUUAUGCAUUCAUCUGUGAUUAGACACCUAGCUGAACACAUAUCUUGGCUUUUGUGAAUAGUCUUUCAAUGCCUGGGUAUGCAGGUAUUUCAUUUCUAAACUUACUUUAUUUUCCUUUGGAUAUAUUCUGAAGAGAAGGAUAGGUGGGUCAUAUGGAAGUUUUAGCUUUAGUUUCUUGAGGAAGCUCCAUACUGAUUGCACUAAUUUACAUUUCUGGUAACAGUACAUAAGAAUAUAUUUUUCUCUACAACUUGACCAAUUUUUUCAUGUUUAAAAAUAAUAACCAUCAUAAUGGGGGUGAGAUGGAAUCUCACUUUAGUUUUGAUUUGCAUUUCCUUGAUAGCUAAAGAUACUGAGAAUUUCUUCCAUAUAUUUAUUGGCUACUUGUGCAUCUUCUUUUUUGAAGUGUGCAUUCAUAUCAUUUGCCCAUUUAUAGGUUGGAUUAUUAGGUUUUGUUGUUAAAGUGUAGAUAUGUAUGCUGAAUAUUAAUCCUCACACAUGAUGAACUUGUUAAAAAAUACACAUUUUCAUAAUAUUCUGAUUUGGUGUGCAAAAUAUUGAAAAAAGAAAAAAAGUUAUUUUAGUUUUUUUAGAGUAGGAGAAUGGUGUGGUUGCAGAAUAUAUAGUCCACAAAAGCCACAAUCCUGGGGCUGGAGCUGUGGCUCAGCACUCUCUUGGCACACAUGAAACACGGGGUUUGAUCUUCAGCACCACAUAAAGAUAAAAUACAGUUAUUGUGUCCACCUACAUCUGAGAUCUAUAUAUAUAUCUAUAUAUCUAUAUCUAUAUCUAUCUAUCUAUCUAUCUAUCUAUAUAUAUAUAGAUAGAUAUAGAUAUAGAUAUAGAUAUAGAUAUCUAUAUAUAUAUAUAACAUAUAUAUAGAUAUUAUAUAUAACAUAUAAUAUAUAUAGAUAGAUACAUAUAGAUAUAUAUAUAUCUAUAUAUGUAACAAUUCAUUAUAUAUAUAUAAUGAAUUUCAUAUAUAUUUAUCUCCACAGUCCUCCCAGUGCUUAGCAGAGAAGAUGCCACACAUAGGUAAGGAUAAAAAUUGGCUUUUUAAAUUAAGCCUGCAUAGAUUAUUUUUUAAAAAGUUUAAUAAGGAACUGGUGCAAAAUAUGAAUUAGAAUGAGGAAAUUCUGGGGUCACAGAGUAUGGCUAUGGUAAAUUAAAAUUGCAUAAGUAUAUUAUAGCUUAACUGUACAAUCCUAGCAUAAGCAGGUUUUCAUAGUGUGGAAAAAUACUUAAAGCACUAAAAACUUAAAGAACCAAUGUCACUUCAUUCUGAAUGAUUUCUGGCAAUCAUUCAGUUUUAUAAUGUGCAUUGUUGUGAAAUUUUCUUUUAAGAUAUCAACUGUAUAUGGAGAUUUCUUGGAAAGCUGGGAAUGGAGCCACCAUUUGACCCAGCUAUUCCCCUUCUCGGUCUAUUCCCUAAAGACCUAAAAAGAGCAUGCUACAGGGACACUGCUACAUCGAUGUUCAUAGCAGCACAAUUCACAAUAGCAAGACUGUGGAACCAACCUAGAUGCCCUUCAAUAGAUGAAUGGAUAAAAAAAAUGUGGCAUUUAUACACAAUGGAGUAUUACUCUGCAUUAAAAAAUGACAAAAUCAUAAAAUUUACAGGGAAAUGGAUGGCAUUAGAGCAGAUUAUGCUAAGUGAAGCUAGCCAAUCCCUAAAAAACAAAUGCCAAAUGUCU